UCUAGUACUUAUACACCUGUAAAUGUUUAGGUUUACUUUCCAAGGCUCAGCCUAGUGCAUCCUGAUAGGCUGGAGAUCAGGGAGUGAUAUCCCUUUUUUGGAAUGCUGACAACCCAAGCCAGUAAUAGAUGUCACAUUAACCAAAUGUGAAAAUUACAACUGUUUAUCUUUUUAAAUGAAUGGAGGAAUUUUCCAUCGGCGUGAUUGACAACAAGAAAGUUGCAAACCACUUACACUUAAAGGUUGAUGCAGUAAGAAAGAACCUUUUCCUUGUAUUCAGAGAAACCUAAAGAGGUAGUUGUUAAUUUUACUUUCAGAUGUAAAGCAAGACACUCUGAUGGUUCCUUCUUACGGUUAAGCAAUUUUCCCUGUAAGAAACAAGGAGUUUCAAUGUUGAGGAAAACAGAACUGAUUGAAUUUCUGCUUGCCAUGGAGCUGCUGAAGGACUGAUCAAUCUUUAGUGGGCUAAAUAGUCCAGUGAGCUGGUAUCUGGGUUGAGAGCCAGAGAUUCAGAGUUCUAUUCCCCACUGUGCCUUGUGGGAGAAGAGCCAGCCUUGUGAAGCUGCA
This is a non-coding RNA of Pogona vitticeps (central bearded dragon), 567 nucleotides long. The record is from RefSeq and is a predicted model, not a curated record. Lineage: Eukaryota; Metazoa; Chordata; Lepidosauria; Squamata; Agamidae.